RNAcentral lists this ribosomal RNA (406 nucleotides) under uncultured bacterium. Its description in RNAcentral is "partial 16S ribosomal RNA". It matches the Rfam family "Bacterial small subunit ribosomal RNA", at positions 30 to 526 of the family's 1533-position model. The record is from RNAcentral.
AUUGAACGCUGGCGGCAUGCCUAACACAUGCAAGUCGAACGAGUGGCGGACGGGUGAGUAAUAUCUGGGAAAGUGCCUGAUGAAGGGGGAUAACUACUGGAAACGUUGGCUAAUACCGCAUACCAUCAGAGCGGCCCAGAUGGGAUUAGCUAGUUGGUGGGGUAACGGCUCACCAAGGCGACGAUCCCUAGCGGGUCUGAGAGGAUGACCAGCCACACUGGAACUGAGACACGGUCCAGACUCCUACGGGAGGCAGCAGUGGGGAAUAUUGCACAAUGGGCGCAAGCCUGAUGCAGCCAUGCCGCGUGUAUGAAGAAGGCCUUCGGGUUGUAAAGUACUUUCGGCGGGGAGGCGUUACCCGCAGAAGAAGCACCGGCUAACUCCGUGCCAGCAGCCGCGGUAAUUC